UUCCCUUCGGGGACAUUGGUGACAGGUGGUGCAUGGUUGUCGUCAGCUCGUGUCGUGAGAUGUUGGGUUAAGUCCCGCAACGAGCGCAACCCUUGUCUUUAGUUGCCAUCAUUAAGUUGGGCACUCUAGAGAGACUGCCAGGGAUAACCUGGAGGAAGGUGGGGAUGACGUCAAAUCAUCAUGCCCCUUAUGCUUAGGGCUACACACGUGCUACAAUGGGUAGUACAGAGGGUUGCCAAGCCGUAAGGUGGAGCUAAUCCCUUAAAGCUACUCUCAGUUCGGAUUGUAGGCUGAAACUCGCCUACAUGAAGCUGGAGUUACUAGUAAUCGCAGAUCAGAAUGCUGCGGUGAAUGCGUUCCCGGGUCUUGUACACACCGCCCGUCACACCACGGGAGUUGGAGACGCCCGAAGCCGAUUAUCUAACCUUUUGGAAGAAGUCGUCGAAGGUGGAAUCAAGAACUGGGGUGAAGUCGUAACAAGGUAGCCGUAUCGGAAGGUGCGGCUGGAUCACCUCCUUUCUAAGGA
RNAcentral lists this ribosomal RNA (526 nucleotides) under Clostridioides difficile. Its description in RNAcentral is "bacterial SSU rRNA". It matches the Rfam family "Bacterial small subunit ribosomal RNA", at positions 1014 to 1533 of the family's 1533-position model. Lineage: Bacteria; Bacillati; Bacillota; Clostridia; Peptostreptococcales; Peptostreptococcaceae. The record is from RNAcentral.